Molecule: ribosomal RNA, 469 nt
Filed under: uncultured bacterium
Lineage: Bacteria
Description: partial 16S ribosomal RNA
Rfam family: Bacterial small subunit ribosomal RNA
Source: RNAcentral
GACGAACGCUGGCGGCGUGCUUAACACAUGCAAGUCGAACGGAAAGGCCCUGCUUUUGUGGGGUGCUCGAGUGGCGAACGGGUGAGUAACACGUGAGUAACCUGCCCUUGACUUUGGGAUAACUUCAGGAAACUGGGGCUAAUACCGGAUAGGAGCUCCUGCUGCAUGGUGGGGGUUGGAAAGUUUCGGCGGUUGGGGAUGGACUCGCGGCUUAUCAGCUUGUUGGUGGGGUAGUGGCUUACCAAGGCUUUGAAGGGUAGCCGGCCUGAGAGGGUGACCGGCCACAUUGGGACUGAGAUACGGCCCAGACUCCUACGGGAGGCAGCAGUGGGGAAUAUUGCACAAUGGGCGGAAGCCUGAUGCAGCAACGCCGCGUGCGGGAUGACGGCCUUCGGGUUGUAAACCGCUUUCGCCUGUGACGAAGCGUGAGUGACGGUAAUGGGUAAAGAAGCACCGGCUAACUACGUGC